ACAAGCGGUGGAGCAUGUGGUUUAAUUCGACGCAACGCGAAGAACCUUACCAGGGCUUGACAUCCCCUGACCGCGUAUGAAAGUACGUUUUCACCCUCGGGUGACAGGGAGACAGGUGGUGCAUGGUUGUCGUCAGCUCGUGUCGUGAGAUGUUGGGUUAAGUCCCGCAACGAGCGCAACCCCUACGUUUAGUUGCUAACGCGUGAAGGCGAGCACUCUAGACGAACUGCCGUUGACAAAACGGAGGAAGGUGGGAUGACGUCAAAUCAUCAUGCCCCUUAUGUUCUGGGCUACACACGUGCUACAAUGGCCGGUACAGACGGACGCAAAGCCGCGAGGUGGAGCAAAUCCUAAAAAGCCGGUCUCAGUUCGGAUUGCAGGCUGCAAUUCGCCUGCAUGAAGUCGGAAUCGCUAGUAAUCGCAGGUCAGCAUACUGCGGUCGAAUACGUUCCCGGGCCUU
Molecule: ribosomal RNA, 460 nt
Filed under: uncultured Pelotomaculum sp.
Lineage: Bacteria; Bacillati; Bacillota; Clostridia; Eubacteriales; Desulfotomaculaceae
Description: bacterial SSU rRNA
Rfam family: Bacterial small subunit ribosomal RNA
Source: RNAcentral